UGGGGAAUAUUGGACAAUGGGCGAAAGCCUGAUCCAGCCAUGCCGCGUGUGUGAAGAAGGUCUUCGGAUUGUAAAGCACUUUAAGUUGGGAGGAAGGGCAGUAAGUUAAUACCUUGCUGCUUUGACGUUACCGACAGAAUAAGCACCGGCUAACUCUGUGCCAGCAGCCGCGGUAAUACAGAGGGUGCAAGCGUUAAUCGGAAUUACUGGGCGUAAAGCGCGCGUAGGUGGGUUGUUAAGUUGGAUGUGAAAGCCCCGGGCUCAACCUGGGAACUGCAUCCAAAACUGGCAAGCUAGAGUACGGUAGAGGGUGGUGGAAUUUCCUGUGUAGCGGUGAAAUGCGUAGAUAUAGGAAGGAACACCAGUGGCGAAGGCGACCACCUGGACUGAUACUGACACUGAGGUGCGAAAGCGUGGGGAGCAAACA
This 427-nucleotide ribosomal RNA is filed under the name uncultured bacterium. RNAcentral describes it as "partial 16S ribosomal RNA". It matches the Rfam family "Bacterial small subunit ribosomal RNA", at positions 355 to 774 of the family's 1533-position model. The record is from RNAcentral.